Carassius auratus (goldfish) is the source of this 277-nucleotide long non-coding RNA. RefSeq lists it as uncharacterized. NCBI's taxonomy places the organism in Eukaryota, Metazoa, Chordata, Actinopteri, Cypriniformes, Cyprinidae. The record is from RefSeq and is a predicted model, not a curated record. The transcript has 6 exons.
AACAUAUCCCAAAAGAGAAGAUCUCGAGCCUCAGAGGAUGUGGAAGUGUCAGCUGCUCCAGCUCUGAUACAGGAUCUUCCUAUGUGCCGACCAACACCUGUGUACUGCCCAGCGCCCCCUGGCUGGUAUGUGCAUCAUAUAGUUACAAGUAGCCCAUUACCACCAUCCGAUAUUCCAGAAUCAGAAGUUCAAAUUUCAACAACUAAUCAAGCUCCUACUCUACUGAAAGAACCAGAAGCUGCUUUGGCAAAACCAAAACAAGCCACUAAAAAGAAAG